RNAcentral lists this ribosomal RNA (499 nucleotides) under uncultured bacterium. RNAcentral describes it as "partial 16S ribosomal RNA". It matches the Rfam family "Bacterial small subunit ribosomal RNA", at positions 28 to 506 of the family's 1533-position model. The record is from RNAcentral.
GACGAACGCUGGCGGCGUGCUUAACACAUGCAAGUCGAACGGGUCUGCCCUGUUUUUUGCGGGGUGGGUCAGUGGCGAACGGGUGAGUAACACGUGAGUAACCUGCCCCUCACUUCUGGAUAACCGCUUGAAAGGGUGGCUAAUACGGGGUGUUCUGGCUGUGCCGCAUGGUGUGGCUGGGAAAGAUUCACUUUUGUGGUGUUUUGGUGGGGGAUGGGCUCGCGGCCUAUCAGCUUGUUGGUGGGGUGAUGGCCUGCCAAGGCUUUGACGGGUAGCCGGCCUGAGAGGGUGGGCGGUCACACUGGGACUGAGAUGCGGCCCAGACUCCUGCGGGAGGCAGCAGUGGGGGGUAUUGCACAAUGGGCGGAAGCCUGAUGCAGCGACGUCGCGUGAGGGAUGGAGGCCUUCGGGUUGUGAACCUCUUUCGCCGGUGAAGAAGGUCCUGCUCUUUGUGGUGGGGUUGACGGUAGCCGGGUUAUGAAGCGCCGGCUAACUACGU